UACGGGGGGUGCGAGCGUUGUCCGGAAUCACUGGGCGUAAAGGGCGCGUAGAUGGCCUGAUAAGGGUGUGGUGAAAGUCCGGGGCUCAACCCCGGAUCGGCCGUGCCGACUGUUAGGCUAGAGUACUGUAGGGGCAGGCGGAAUUCCGGGUGUAGCGGUGGAAUGCGUAGAGAUCCGGAGGAAGACCGGUGGCGAAGGCGGCCUGCUGGGCAGUUACUGACACUGAGGCGCGACAGCGUGGGGAGCAAACAGG
This 253-nucleotide ribosomal RNA is filed under the name uncultured bacterium. RNAcentral describes it as "partial 16S ribosomal RNA". It matches the Rfam family "Bacterial small subunit ribosomal RNA", at positions 524 to 776 of the family's 1533-position model. The record is from RNAcentral.